GAUGAACGCUGGCGGCGUGCCUAAUACAUGCAAGUCGAGCGAACAGACGAGGAGCUUGCUCCUCUGACGUUAGCGGCGGACGGGUGAGUAACACGUGGAUAACCUACCUAUAAGACUGGGAUAACUUCGGGAAACCGGAGCUAAUACCGGAUAAUAUAUUGAACCGCAUGGUUCAAUAGUGAAAGACGGUCUUGCUGUCACUUAUAGAUGGAUCCGCGCCGCAUUAGCUAGUUGGUAAGGUAACGGCUUACCAAGGCAACGAUGCGUAGCCGACCUGAGAGGGUGAUCGGCCACACUGGAACUGAGACACGGUCCAGCCUCCUACGGGAGGCAGCAGUAGGGAAUCUUCCGCAAUGGGCGAAAGCCUGACGGAGCAACGCCGCGUGAGUGAUGAAGGUCUUCGGAUCGUAAAACUCUGUUAUUAGGGAAGAACAAAUGUGUAAGUAACUAUGCACAUCUUGACGGUACCUAAUCAGAAAGCCACGGCUAACUACGUG
Molecule: ribosomal RNA, 497 nt
Filed under: uncultured bacterium
Lineage: Bacteria
Description: partial 16S ribosomal RNA
Rfam family: Bacterial small subunit ribosomal RNA
Source: RNAcentral